This 301-nucleotide ribosomal RNA is filed under the name uncultured bacterium. RNAcentral's name for it is "partial 16S ribosomal RNA". It matches the Rfam family "Bacterial small subunit ribosomal RNA", at positions 509 to 807 of the family's 1533-position model. The record is from RNAcentral.
CAGUCGCCACGGGAAUACGCAGGUGGCAAGCGUUGUCCGGAAUUAUUGGGCGUAAAGCGCGCGCAGGUGGUUUAAUAAGUCUGAUGUGAAAGCCCACGGCUCAACCGUGGAGGGUCAUUGGAAACUGUUAAACUUGAGUGCAGGAGAGAAAAGUGGAAUUCCUAGUGUAGCGGUGAAAUGCGUAGAGAUUAGGAGGAACACCAGUGGCGAAAGCGGCUCUCUGGCUUGUAACUGACGCUGAGGCUCGAAAGCGUGGGGAGCAAACAGGAUUAGAUACCCGCGUAGUCCCUGUCUCUUAUAC